AAAAAGGCUUCCAACAUGGACAAAUUAAGCCCUUGGGACCGCCUUACAAAGAAUACAUUUUUCCAGUGUCGAACCAAGAUCAAUAGAGAAAAACAAAUAAUUUCAAGUGGGAGUCGUCAUAAUGACACCCAGAGAGAAAGUCCAAGGAUGGUACCAGGGCCUGGGCUGCUUCCUCCUGUUCCAUCAUCUUUGUGAAUAGCCCGGAGUGAGCGGGCCCAUCUGGUUCUAUUUCACUCCACGUUACUCAUCAGGAUGUGUUUGCCAGCAGCUAUUUGAUCUUCAGGAAGAAUUCCGAAGCUUUCGAAAAGAAGUAAAUAAAAUCUUUAAUCCCCCA
This 334-nucleotide long non-coding RNA is filed under the name Vulpes vulpes (red fox). Its description in RNAcentral is "lncRNA (ENSVVUG00000025537.1)". The record is from RNAcentral. Lineage: Eukaryota; Metazoa; Chordata; Mammalia; Carnivora; Canidae.